This 1305-nucleotide long non-coding RNA is filed under the name Anser brachyrhynchus (Pink-footed goose). Its description in RNAcentral is "lncRNA (ENSABRG00000007675.1)". The record is from RNAcentral. Lineage: Eukaryota; Metazoa; Chordata; Aves; Anseriformes; Anatidae.
GUAAAUGUGUCAGAUCUUGAGCCUGCUUGUUGGCACUGGAAAGCUCCACGGUAUUCAAGAUAGCUUUGAGUUGAAUGCCAAGUUACUUGAAUGCAACUGGUAUUAAAAUGCUUGCUUUAAACAAAUGAGCUUUGUGCUAUCUGGCUUGCUGAGACCAUACCCAUGCCAAAAGGCAGUCCCACUAGGGAUCUGCUGGACUUGCCUCUGAACCUGUCCAAAACCCACUGACCCCAGUUUUCGGAGCUUUGGGGUGUAAGGCCCCUAACUAUGAUCAUGAUCAAGGUGAAGGUUUUAAGUGAGUUGGGUGCACUGCAGAACAGGAUUUCUGUUUUCCAUCUACAAAGGUGUUUUUAAGCGUUAUCCGCUGGCACACUUGACCGACACCCCAGCAACAAAAGGCAUUGUGUGCAUAGCCUGUUUGCUUAGCCACCGCCUCAAAACCCAUCAUGUGUGCAUGGACCGUCGAGCUCGGAAAAAAGGGCUGGUGAGACAAUAAGCUGCCGCAAGGGAGCUUCAGUCCAUCUGUGCAGUAUCAGUUGCAAGUCCUGGGCUCCAAUUUAUAUGUUCUGGGGCAGCAGGGCGUGACAUUCACCUUGUCUGUGAAGUAUUGUUUCUGUUGAUGACACUGAAAGAUUUACAGUGCAGUUUUCUCCAGCUGCAAUGAAAACUGAUGGGGGAAAAAACAUAUAAGUUCUUUUUUGGUAUAUCUUCCUAUAUGAAUUCACUCCUCAAAUAGAGCUCAGUUUUUAAACCUACUAAUUUUGACAGCGUCCUCUUAUUUUUUUUUCAGAUGUGACACUGAAUCAAAGAAUUUAUAUGAAGGUCCAAGCAGAACCGAUGCCUUUCAAAUUUGACUUGCUUGGUGCUUGCAAUAAUUUAUGCAAAUCCUAUCAAGUAUUUUGCAAGACUGCUACUUAAAAAUUAAUUGGUUUCCCUAUUCUACUGUACAGAAACCACAACUGUGGAAGCUCAACAUGUUUGUGAAUACCACGAAAAUGUGAGGCCUAAUGCACUGUAGCUGCAACCCGACUCCCCGCAUCUGUCCCCUAACGGGUAAGUCGCUGGGGGAAGGGGCCUUCUGAUCGGGGAAUCGAGUCCACAUUGUCAUUUCUUAGACAAAGAACAAGAAGUUGGCCUGUCAUCUUGUCUAAGAAAUGUCAUUUUACUCUGUUUAAUAGCACGUCUGAAUGUGACAGAGAGUAGAAACCCCCUAGAAACUGCUCCCCCAAGCUGAGGACUUUCUAGAUCUUCCUGACAACCAUCCAUCGGGACAAACAUCCCAGUGUUGCUUGACAGGACAACAGA